GCUUCAUGUUCUGAUGCAAGAUUGAGGCAGUCAAGGAGAUGUUCUGGAGAGAACUUGUCUGCUGAGUACAUGUACCGAUAAAUCAUAUCUCCUAAACACGCUUUGCCACUCUAGAAACAAAAAUAUUUGUUGAAAAAACAGAAGUUUUAAAGUGAAAGUAGAGAAAUAACCUUUGGAAGAGUUGCCAUGUAUGUGUCUGGAAUUUCCAUCUCAGCAAGAAUACUACUAUUGAUGGCCAUGGCUGCUUUGUGGAUUUGAUUGGCACAGUCACGUUUGUGUCUCAAAUGCUUCCUUGCUUUCUCAGUGAGUCCAUCUGGAGAAACACAUGGAACUGGCAACCACCAUUUCUCAUCUUUUCUCUGAACAAUUCUCCGAAAUGAUCCUGAAGGACCUGAACCAAUUGAACUGGAUGACAAGCUUCCUUGUUCUGCAUACCAGAACUCUCUGUCUUGGAAACUGUCCAAUAUUUCCUGCGAAAGAAUCCAUGUAUAUAUUAGACUCUGAUAGAGAACUGAGUGAAAGUAUUAGAGAUAGUGCAAGAUAGAGAUCCUUACAAUAAGCAUUGCGUCAAGCUUUCUCAAAGCUGGCAGGUUUAUAUAAAUAUCAGCUCUUGGUCUACUUGUCAUAAUCUGAGAGAUUAAAGGGGAAAAAUAAUAUAUAUCAGAAAAGGUUCAUAACAAGCAAUAGUAUAGCAAAACUAGUUGAAUUUCAUUACAGCCCAUGAAUCAUUCAUGUAUGUAAAUACCUCUAAAGCUGUUCCAUCUCUCAAAUUUUGUGAUGUGGCAGGGAUGAAUUCUACUAUGUAAUCACAUACAGAUAGAAGACAAUCCAUUUCUCUCUUCCACA
This is a long non-coding RNA of Cannabis sativa, 846 nucleotides long. RefSeq lists it as uncharacterized. The record is from RefSeq and is a predicted model, not a curated record. The transcript is spliced from 2 exons. NCBI's taxonomy places the organism in Eukaryota, Viridiplantae, Streptophyta, Magnoliopsida, Rosales, Cannabaceae.